UCUGGUGGCAUUAAGCAAUAUUCAACACUCGUUCCCAUUCCGAACACGCCAGUGAAAUGAUUGCUGACCGAUGAUAGUGCAUCUAUAGGUUGCGCAAAAGUAGGUUGUCGCCAGUU
This 116-nucleotide ribosomal RNA is filed under the name Verrucomicrobiaceae bacterium SCGC AG-212-N21. Lineage: Bacteria; Pseudomonadati; Verrucomicrobiota; Verrucomicrobiia; Verrucomicrobiales; Verrucomicrobiaceae. The record is from RNAcentral.